Molecule: ribosomal RNA, 253 nt
Filed under: uncultured bacterium
Lineage: Bacteria
Description: partial 16S ribosomal RNA
Rfam family: Bacterial small subunit ribosomal RNA
Source: RNAcentral
UACGUAGGGUGCGAGCGUUGUCCGGAAUUAUUGGGCGUAAAGGGCUCGUAGGCGGUUUGUCGCGUCGGGUGUGAAAACUCAGGGCUCAACCCUGAGCGUGCUUCCGAUACGGGCAGACUAGAGGUAUGCAGGGGAGAACGGAAUUCCUGGUGUAGCGGUGGAAUGCGCAGAUAUCAGGAGGAACACCGGUGGCGAAGGCGGUUCUCUGGGCAUGACCUGACGCUGAGGCGCGAGAGCGUGGGGAGCAAACAGG